GACGAACGCUGGCGGCGUGCCUAAUACAUGCAAGUCGUGCGGACCUUUUAAAAGCUUGCUUUUAAAAGGUUAGCGGCGGACGGGUGAGUAACACGUGGGCAACCUGCCUGUAAGACUGGGAUAACGCCGGGAAACCGGGGCUAAUACCAGAUCGUUUUUUCCUCCGCAUGGAGGGAAAAGGAAAGGCGGCUUCGGCUGCCACUUACAGAUGGGCCCGCGGCGCAUUAGCUAGUUGGCGGGGUAACGGCCCACCAAGGCAACGAUGCGUAGCCGACCUGAGAGGGUGAUCGGCCACAUUGGGACUGAGACACGGCCCAAACUCCUACGGGAGGCAGCAGUAGGGAAUCUUCCGCAAUGGACGAAAGUCUGACGGAGCAACGCCGCGUGAGUGAAGAAGGCCUUCGGGUCGUAAAACUCUGUUGCCGGGGAAGAACAAGUGCCGUUCGAACAGGGCGGCGCCUUGACGGUACCCGGCCAGAAAGCCACGGCUAACUACGUG
This 499-nucleotide ribosomal RNA is filed under the name uncultured bacterium. Its description in RNAcentral is "partial 16S ribosomal RNA". It matches the Rfam family "Bacterial small subunit ribosomal RNA", at positions 28 to 507 of the family's 1533-position model. The record is from RNAcentral.